CCCAACUAUCCCUAUUAAUCAUUACGUUGAUCCUAAAAACCAACAAAAUAGGUUCGAACGUCCUAUUUCAUUAUUCCAUGCUAAUGUAUUCAAGCUAAUGCCUGCUUUAAACACUCUAAUUUUUUCAAAGUAACAGUCCUGAUUUCCCAUAACACCAAAUUAAUGACAUCAUGGUUCGUCAGAAGGGAGAAAUCGAUGACGACAGUACGUACCGAAGGCACGACCGACGUAUCGAUCCCGAAAUUCAACUACGAGCUUUUUAACUGCAACAACUUUAAUAUACGCUAUUGGAGCUGGAAUUACCGCGGCUGCUGGCACCAGACUUGCCCUCCAA
This 334-nucleotide unclassified non-coding RNA is filed under the name uncultured Glomerales. Its description in RNAcentral is "sequence contains 18S rRNA gene". Lineage: Eukaryota; Fungi; Glomeromycota; Glomeromycetes; Glomerales; Glomeraceae. The record is from RNAcentral.